AUUUAAUAGCACAUUCAGUUCACUGACAGAGCUCCAUCUUUUUUUCCUCUCCCCCUUUGCUUCCUUUUUAUUCUACUCUGAUAACAAAGGGGAAGAGAAACUAACUUUGUAUGGUUUGUACUUUUUGAUAAAAGCUACUAAUGAUCAGCCUUGGCAGGGGAGAUUCUGUUUUAAUGUCUUUUUUCAGAAUCUGUUUUAAUUCCUCAGAUAGGAACUUUAAGGAGCAAUGAAGGAGAGAGGUGCUGCUCUGAAACAGCAAGGAAAAAAAAUACUGCACACCUGGGACAGAUGAAGCCAAACCAAUGCUUUUAUAAUGCCAAUCAGCAAUGCUGUUAUCAUCCCGCUAAUUAGGAAAGCAGCCUAAAACAGAGAGCACUUUGGGAAAUGGACACCAAUGCAUCAUGCAUCCACAAAGGGCCGGGUGCUGCAUUCCCUCAGCUCGACUGUACCUCUGAGGAGGAAACCAGUGAAACCUUAAAAGAAAAGCAUCUUACCUGAACCUUUCACCAGCUCAGAGAAUUUCACCUUGUUGCAGGUUUCAGCCACUAGAUGACUUUCAUGCCAAAUAAAGAGUGAUAAGACCACUUUACGUCAACUUGGAUAAAGAAAAUGGUGGAACCAACCAAUUGCUACACACAGGUCCAUGGCUGCUGGGUUUCAGAACACGAGGCCUUGCUGCUUCCACGGACUCGUCUCCCAGGCUGGCACGUGCUCAGACUGUCUUGAACUCCAUGCUCUGCACUGUGACCUGCCUCCAGGACUCAGCUCCUGUGGAUCACAGGUGGAUCACAACCAAGAAAAAGAAUAUGCUUCACAUUAACAGUAGUUACAAGACCUUUCCCGUAAAUAUUUGCAAAUGAUGAAGCAGGAAGAUAAAGAGGAACCACAUGAUUUUUCAGGGCCGAUUUGAUCAACGAAUGACCAAGGACAAGAUGUUGUAAGGAGUUUAAGUUGGAUUCCUGAAGAAUUAUUUUUCUUUCAGUAUGCUGCUUCAACACAGAUAAAGUGCUUCAUCAUGACUCUCCUUUUGUAAUAUUUUUAUUCUAUUUGUCUGAUUUAGCCUAUGUACCAAGGCCAGAAGGAAGUACUUACAUAAUACUACAGCAAAUGCAACUCCCCACUUGCCUCACAAUGCUGUAGAUCUGUUUUGCACUUAUAUUUCUUUCAUGCCUGUGAAUUAUUUUGUAUGAGUGAAAAAAUGUAUUUACUCUUGACUGCAUCAGGGUAAUUCAAUCAAAUCAUAAUUAGUGCUAUCAGUAUGUGGAAGAGUUAGAAUUUUAUUUCCUUAUGCUGCCAGCACUUUAUUUCAUCAAAAUGAACUCCAGGCUACACCUCUAUUAGCCCUUCUAGCCAUCGUUAGGUCCCUUGGUACAAAUAUUGAUAUAUCUCUAUUUGACUAUAUUGGUCGGUUAGCUCAGAUGGUUAGAGUGUGGUGCGAAUAACAUCGAGGUUGUGGGUUCAGUCCCCACACUGAGCAGGUAUAGGAUUGGGGUUCACAC
Chiloscyllium plagiosum (whitespotted bambooshark) is the source of this 1499-nucleotide non-coding RNA. The record is from RefSeq and is a predicted model, not a curated record. Lineage: Eukaryota; Metazoa; Chordata; Chondrichthyes; Orectolobiformes; Hemiscylliidae.